UUGAAACACUGGUUUUCGUACGAUCACCGAAGUUAAGCAACGUCGAGUCAGGUCAGUACCUAGAUAGGUAACCGCUUGGGAAAACCAGGUGGUGCAA
Molecule: non-coding RNA, 97 nt
Organism: Acanthosepion pharaonis
Lineage: Eukaryota; Metazoa; Mollusca; Cephalopoda; Sepiida; Sepiidae
Source: the annotation of a GenBank genome assembly